Molecule: transfer RNA, 84 nt
Filed under: Candidatus Aenigmatarchaeota archaeon
Lineage: Archaea; Nanobdellati; Candidatus Aenigmatarchaeota
Description: tRNA-Ser
Rfam family: tRNA
About the family: Transfer RNA (tRNA) molecules are approximately 80 nucleotides in length. Their secondary structure includes four short double-helical elements and three loops (D, anti-codon, and T loops). Further hydrogen bonds mediate the characteristic L-shaped molecular structure. tRNAs have two regions of fundamental functional importance: the anti-codon, which is responsible for specific mRNA codon recognition, and the 3' end, to which the tRNAs corresponding amino acid is attached (by aminoacyl-tRNA synthetases). tRNAs cope with the degeneracy of the genetic code in two manners: having more than one tRNA (with a specific anti-codon) for a particular amino acid; and 'wobble' base-pairing, i.e. permitting non-standard base-pairing at the 3rd anti-codon position.
Source: RNAcentral
GCCGAGGUCGCAUAACCAGGUAGUGCACCAGUCUCGAAAACUGGCGGGCGAAAGCCCAUGAGGGUUCAAAUCCCUCCCUCGGCG